GAUGAACGCUGGCGGCGUGCCUAAUACAUGCAAGUCGAGCGAACAGAUGAGGAGCUUGCUCCUCUGACGUUAGCGGCGGACGGGUGAGUAACACGUGGAUAACCUACCUAUAAGACUGGGAUAACUUCGGGAAACCGGAGCUAAUACCGGAUAAUAUAUUGAACCGCAUGGUUCAAUAGUGAAAGACGGUUUUGCUGUCACUUAUAGAUGGAUCCGCGCCGCAUUAGCUAGUUGGUAAGGUAACGGCUUACCAAGGCAACGAUGCGUAGCCGACCUGAGAGGGUGAUAGGCCAAGCUGGAACUGAGACACGGUCCAGACUACUACGGGAGGCAGCAGUAGGGAAUCUUCCGCAAUGGGCGAAAGCCUGACGGAGCAACGCCGCGUGAGUGAUGAAGGUCUUCGGAUCGUAAAACUCUGUUAUUAGGGAAGAACAAAUGUGUAAGUAACUAUGCACGUCUUGACGGUACCUAAUCAGAAAGCCACGGCUAACUACGUG
RNAcentral lists this ribosomal RNA (497 nucleotides) under uncultured bacterium. Its description in RNAcentral is "partial 16S ribosomal RNA". It matches the Rfam family "Bacterial small subunit ribosomal RNA", at positions 28 to 507 of the family's 1533-position model. The record is from RNAcentral.